Molecule: non-coding RNA, 387 nt
Organism: Styela clava
Lineage: Eukaryota; Metazoa; Chordata; Ascidiacea; Stolidobranchia; Styelidae
Source: RefSeq, a predicted model, not a curated record
UUUGUUGUGCCGAUACACCUGCAUCACUGUCAGGUUGGUUGGAUGCAAAUUAUGAAGUUUGGACAUGGAAUAUAAUGGAGCAUUCGAAGGGUCCAAGUCAGAAAUUCUAGAGAAGUUGUCGAGUGGAAGUGAAUGUCCUCUUCGUCAUCCUAAAACUGAGAUUGUGCAUUUGGGGAAGCAUUUAGAAUGUUUAUCUUGCCAUGUCGCCGGGAAUGUUUUGCAUUGUUUCGCAAAAGUGAGUCAGAAAAAAAGGAAGCAUUUUCACUGUCCCUACUGCCCUAAAAUGUACGAAAGAAGUGCUCAUUUAAAAAGUCACUUAUCCUCUCAAAGAGGAAAAUGCUGUAGUCAAAAAUUGGAAUGUAAUCAAAAAGCGGCGUGAAAAGCGAU